CAGCAGCCGCGGGAAAACGUAGGUGGCAAGCGUUGUCCGGAAUUAUUGGGCGUAAAGCGCGCGCAGGCGGUUUCUUAAGUCUGAUGUGAAAGCCCCCGGCUUAACCGGGGAGGGUCAUUGAAACUGGGAGACUUAGAGUGCAGAAGAGGAGAGUGGAAUUCCAUGUGUAGCGGUGAAAUGCGUAGAUAUAUGGAGGAACACCAGUGGCGAAGGCGGCUUACUGGCUCGAAACUGACGCUGAGGCGCGAAAGCGUGGGGAGCAAACAGGAUUAGAUACCCCUGUAGUCCCUGUCUCUUAUAC
This 301-nucleotide ribosomal RNA is filed under the name uncultured bacterium. RNAcentral describes it as "partial 16S ribosomal RNA". It matches the Rfam family "Bacterial small subunit ribosomal RNA", at positions 509 to 807 of the family's 1533-position model. The record is from RNAcentral.